AAACUGGUCUCAAAAUGGUUUUAAAAAUUGGUUUUUAAAAAGGCUUUGAAAUAAAAGAAUAAAAAAAGAAGAACCCUCCCUCUCUAUUUUCGGCCCGAAGGCCCAUAUCCUUCCCUGCCCCCUUUCUUCUUCUCUCUGGCCCAAGCGGCAGUCGCGGCCCACUCUUUCCCCCCCUCGCUCGGCCCAACUCCUUCCCCAGCCCACGUGGCC
Molecule: long non-coding RNA, 210 nt
Filed under: Sorghum bicolor (sorghum)
Lineage: Eukaryota; Viridiplantae; Streptophyta; Magnoliopsida; Poales; Poaceae
Description: long non-coding RNA (SBIC_LNC015525)
Source: RNAcentral